GACGAACGCUGGCGGCGUGCCUAAUACAUGCAAGUAGAACGCUGAAGAGAGGAGCUUGCUCUUCUUGGAUGAGUUGCGAACGGGUGAGUAACGCGUAGGUAACCUGCCUGGUAGCGGGGGAUAACUAUUGGAAACGAUAGCUAAUACCGCAUAAAAUUGAUUAUUGCAUGAUAAUUAAUUGAAAGAUGCAACUGCAUCACUACCAGAUGGACCUGCGUUGUAUUAGCUAGUUGGUGAGGUAACGGCUCACCAAGGCGACGAUACAUAGCCGACCUGAGAGAGUGAUCGGCCACACUGGGACUGAGACACGGCCCAGACUCCUACGGGAGGCAGCAGUAGGGAAUCUUCGGCAAUGGGGGGAACCCUGACCGAGCAACGCCGCGUGAGUGAAGAAGGUUUUCGGAUCGUAAAGCUCUGUUGUAAGAGAAGAACGGGUGUGAGAGUGGAAAGUUCACACUGUGACGGUAUCUUACCAGAAAGGGACGGCUAACUACGUG
RNAcentral lists this ribosomal RNA (497 nucleotides) under uncultured bacterium. Its description in RNAcentral is "partial 16S ribosomal RNA". It matches the Rfam family "Bacterial small subunit ribosomal RNA", at positions 28 to 507 of the family's 1533-position model. The record is from RNAcentral.